Molecule: RNA transcript, 3137 nt
Organism: Cucurbita maxima (winter squash)
Lineage: Eukaryota; Viridiplantae; Streptophyta; Magnoliopsida; Cucurbitales; Cucurbitaceae
Gene name: protein EXECUTER 1, chloroplastic-like
Exons: 12
Source: RefSeq, a predicted model, not a curated record
GAGCUUUCACUUUUCACUUACCCAUCGUUCUAAGCCUUCUCUGUCCUUCCGAGUUCUCAUCCCUCCAUGGCUUCCAUUUCUCCACUCCCUUCUCGUCACCUCUCCUUCUCCACCACCAACUUCCAUUCCCCAACUCCAUUUCUCAAACCUCAUUCCUCUGCUGCUUCUCCUCCUCCUCCUCCAUCAUCCCAAUCCCACACCAUUUGCCACUCUCACAACCCUGAUUCUCCUCCGUCUGAACCUUCCCUUCCCUGGGGAUGGAGCUCUGCGCUUCAGGGCCUUUUUCAAACCGCCCUCGAACGCUUCGAUUCUCUCGUGAAUCACCGUACCGAUGGUUCUAUCGAUCCUCGUUCCGACGGUCGCGUUCUGCAGGGGCGGCGUAAAGAUGGGGAUGAUGAUGAUGGGAGCUGGGAUUGGGAUCGGUGGCGCAAGCAUUUUGACGAGGUGGAUGAACAGGAGCGUCUCGUUUCUUUUCUUAAGUCGCGCUUAAGUCAUGCGGUAUAUGCAGAGGAUUAUGAGGAUGCUGCAAGGCUCAAGGUGGCGCUUGCGGCUUUGGCUACAAAGGAUACUGUUGGCAGAGCAAUGUCUCAUCUUCAUAGAGCUAUAGAGGAGGAGCGUUACCGGGAUGCAGCGUUCAUUCGAGACAAUGCUGGUGCCGGACUGGUUGGCUGGUGGUCUGGCACUUCAAAAGACGAUCAUAAUCCUCGUGGUCUAAUUAUUCGAAUAACAGCAGAACAUGGAAGAUACAUAGCAAGAAGUUAUAGUCCUCGGCAGCUUGCUACGGCUGCAGAUGGUGUUCCCUUGUUUGAGAUUUUUCUUGGAGUGAAUAAGAAGGGUGAAUACAAACAGCAGGCUGUGUACUUGAAGCGGAAAGGAGAUUUCCCGGGUAAUUCAAAUGGUUCAUCAAAAGAAUCAGAUUCACCUAGUCUAUUGAAUCCUUUUGACCCUGUUGAAGAAAAGGAUGAUAUUUUCAUUAUAGAUGGUGAAGAAGCUGAAGAUGGUGACAUCAGGAAUGAAGAUUCUGAUAUAGCUGUUGGACUUCCAGUCUUUCAGGAUAUCUUGAGAGAUAUGAUUCCUGGAGGGAAGGUCAAGGUUUUGAAGCUAACAACCUCUGGAAAGGUUGACAAAGACGUGAUAUCUAAGGUGAUUGAGCAAAUAAUUGAGGAGGAAGAAGAUGAAGAAGAGGAAGACGAUGAAGAAGAGGAAGAGGAAGACGAUGGAGAAAGUGAGGAAGAGAGCGGCUUUGAAGAUUUGGUAGUAGAAGACAGAAUUAAGGAUGGACAUCAAGAGAAUGAUGCUAAAUUGAAUGCUGAUGAUGGUUUCCUUGAAAAUCAGGGGCAAAAUGAAGUUGCUGUCAAAAUCAUUGUAGGUGGCUUAGAGCAGAAGCUUUCCGGUGGCUUUUCUGCUAAAAAUACACUCAGAGUACCUGCAAAGUUAGAAAAGAAGGGACGUUCUUCAUUUUCUUUCUCGAUUGUGAAAGAUUCGAAUGAACAGGACUCUAUCGGAAAAGAACUAAAUUCCAUGGAUAGGAUGUCCAAGUCUCGAGGUCGAAGUAGUAAUGACUAUGUUAUGCUAGAUUUGGCCAAACUUAUUGGCAAGGAGAAGAUACCGCUUAAGGUACUUAAAAAUUUGAGUGAGUUAAUAAAGCUAUCCAUCAGCCAGGCACAGAACUAUCAACCUCUUUCUGGAUCCACAAGUUUCAAUCGAAUUGAUAUACUGACUUCUUCAGAUCCUCUGAAUGGACUGUACAUUGAUGCACAUGAAAUGUAUACAUCGGAUAUUAUUCAUCUAAGACGCAGAUUUGGUCGAUGGCAAGAGGAUGGAGGAGGGGAUAAGGAGCCUUCAAAGCUUGAAUUCUAUGAAUAUGUAGAGGCCUGGAAAGUUAUUGGGGAUCCAUAUCUACCAGCUGGCAAGGUGGCAUUUCGUGCGAAGGUUGGAAAAAAAUACCAGCUUCCUCAUAAAGGGAUCAUUCCAGAAGAAUUUGGAGUGAUUGCUAGAUAUAAAGGACAGGGGAGGCUAGCUGAGCCAGGUUUUCGCAACCCUCGAUGGGUUGAUGGUGAACUUGUUAUUCUUGAUGGAAAGCACAUCAAAGGAGGACCUGCCGUUGGAUUUAUUUAUUGGGCUCCAGAAUUUCAGUUCCUGGUGUUUUUUAAUCGACUGAGGCUGCAAGAGUAGAUUUCAUGUUAUUUUAAACUGAGAUCUCAAGCCUCUUCUUUCAUUAGUGCUUCGGUCAUUCUUCAACGAGGCUUGAGCAUACAAAUAUCCGUAGGCGGCGCAAAUUCGAAUUGACUUGACUCACUUGGUGUUGGGAGUAAGUGUCGCGCAAUCGCAAAAUUCUCUACCAAGAAAAGUAUGAUUGUGGCAAGUGGUAUCAGUGUCUUGUUAGCUCUUUGACGCAUUGAGACUAAAACAAUGUCGACGAAAAAAUCAGCACCUAAAUCACAAGUGGACCGGUUUACCUUGAUAGAAGAAGACAUGUUGUUUCUAAAAGAAAUCCGUGACACUGUCAGUUUCUUGGAAUGACGAGUGACAAAAUUGAAUAAAAAAGUUCAGGAAAUCGAUACCAUCGACGCCCGCUUGGAUGGGUUGUUGAUCAAAGAAUUGAUGUUUAGAGUUGACUCAUUAGAGGAAAGAGUUACCCGAACGAGCAGCUCAGAACAUGUUAAUGGUCUUGACAACUUUGUCGCACACAUGGAAGGACGUGUUAAAGAGCUAGGCGGUUUACAAAAGACCAUGUUGAAGUUGUUCAACGAAUUAGCUGAUGAAUUCCGAACAACGAUUAAUGGCAUCGGGGGAGAGAUGUCCGAAAUGAACGCCCGAGUGAGUUUGACAAUGAGAGACGUAGAGAAUCACACCCCUAGCUAAGCUUAUUUCGAACUUAACAAACUGAAGAACCCUAAACCUAAAGCCUUUAAAGGGAACCGGGAUGCCAAGGAAUUGGAGAACUUUAUCUUUGACGUAGAACAAUACUUUAAAGCUACAGGAACAUGUUCCAAAGACUUGAAAGUUACGUUAGUUACCAUGCAAUUUGUGGACAAUGCAAAAUUCUGAUGGUACUUGAAGGUGAACGAUAUCUAAAGUGGGUGAUGCACCAUCGACUCAUGGGAAGACCUCAAGAAAGAGUUGAUGACUCAAAU